GACGAAUGCUGGCUGCGGGCUCAACACAUACAACUCAAACGGAAAGGCCCUGCUUUUGUGGGGUGCACGAGUAGCCGACGGGCGAGUAACACGUGAGUACACUUCACUUGACUGUGGGCUAACUUCAGGAAACUGUGGCGUAUCGCGGGUAGGAGCUACUGCGGCAGGGUGUGGGUUGGUUAGUUUCGGCGGUCAGGGAUGUACGAGCGGCUUAUCAGCUUGUUGGUGUGGUCGUGGCUUACCAAGGCUGUGACGGGUAACCUGCCUGCGAGGGUGACCGGCCACAUUGGGACUGAGAUGCGGCACAGACUCCUACGGGAGGCAGCAGUGCGGAAUAUUGCACAAUGGGCGGAGGCCUGAUGCAGCAGCGCCGCGUGCGGGAUGACGGCCGUCGGGGUGUAACCCGCUUUCGCCUGUGACGAAGCGUGAGUAACGGUACUGGGUAAAGAAGCACCGGCUAACUACGUG
This 468-nucleotide ribosomal RNA is filed under the name uncultured bacterium. Its description in RNAcentral is "partial 16S ribosomal RNA". It matches the Rfam family "Bacterial small subunit ribosomal RNA", at positions 28 to 507 of the family's 1533-position model. The record is from RNAcentral.